GAUGAACGCUGGCGGCGUGCCUAAUACAUGCAAGUCGAGCGAACAGACGAGGAGCUUGCUCCUCUGACGUUAGCGGCGGACGGGUGAGUAACACGUGGAUAACCUACCUAUAAGACUGGGAUAACUUCGGGAAACCGGAGCUAAUACCGGAUAAUAUAUUGAACCGCAUGGUUCAAUAGUGAAAGACGGUUUUGCUGUCACUUACAGAUGGAUCCGCGCCGCAUUAGCUAGUUGGUAAGGUAACGGCUUACCAAGGCAACGAUGCGUAGCCGACCUGAGAGGGUGAUCGGCCACACUGGAACUGAGACACGGUCCAGACUCCUACGGGAGGCAGCAGUAGGGAAUCUUCCGCAAUGGGCGAAAGCCUGACGGAGCAACGCCGCGUGAGUGAUGAAGGUCUUCGGAUCGUAAAACUCUGUUAUUAGGGAAGAACAAAUGUGUAAGUAACUAUGCACGUCUUGACGGUACCUAAUCAGAAAGCCACGGCUAACUACGUG
Molecule: ribosomal RNA, 497 nt
Filed under: uncultured bacterium
Lineage: Bacteria
Description: partial 16S ribosomal RNA
Rfam family: Bacterial small subunit ribosomal RNA
Source: RNAcentral